RNAcentral lists this ribosomal RNA (292 nucleotides) under uncultured bacterium. Its description in RNAcentral is "partial 16S ribosomal RNA". It matches the Rfam family "Bacterial small subunit ribosomal RNA", at positions 505 to 796 of the family's 1533-position model. The record is from RNAcentral.
GUGUCAGCCGCCGCGGUAAUACGGGGGGAGCAAGCGUUGUUCGGAAUCACUGGGCGUAAAGGGCGUGUAGGCGGUUCGGUAAGUGGGAUGUGAAAUCCCUCGGCUCACCCGAGGACCUGCAUCCCAUACUGCUGAGCUUGAGUACAGGAGAGGGUGGGGGAAUUCCUGGUGUAGCGGUGAAAUGCGUAGAUAUCAGGAGGAACACCGGUGGCGAAGGCGCCCACCUGGCCUGCUACUGACGCUGAGGCGCGAAAGCUAGGGGAGCAAACGGGAUUAGAAACCCCUGUAGUCC